This is a regulatory RNA element of Thermincola sp., 100 nucleotides long. It matches the Rfam family "Pyrrolysine insertion sequence mttB". The record is from Rfam. Lineage: Bacteria; Bacillati; Bacillota; Clostridia; Eubacteriales; Thermincolaceae.
UUAUCGGAUGCCAAGAUUGCCGAUGCCCAGGCCGGCUAUGAAUCAAUGAUGACUUUACUGGCGACCAGUGCAACAGGCAUUAACUUUGUACUGCAUACAG